GCCCAGAUAGCUCAGUUGGUAGAGCAGAGGACUGAAAAUCCUCGUGUCGCUGGUUCGAUUCCAGCUUUGGGCACUA
Molecule: transfer RNA, 76 nt
Filed under: Clostridium sp.
Lineage: Bacteria; Bacillati; Bacillota; Clostridia; Eubacteriales; Clostridiaceae
Also listed under: 27 other names
Description: tRNA-Phe
Rfam family: tRNA
About the family: Transfer RNA (tRNA) molecules are approximately 80 nucleotides in length. Their secondary structure includes four short double-helical elements and three loops (D, anti-codon, and T loops).
Source: RNAcentral